RNAcentral lists this ribosomal RNA (438 nucleotides) under uncultured bacterium. RNAcentral's name for it is "bacterial SSU rRNA". It matches the Rfam family "Bacterial small subunit ribosomal RNA", at positions 954 to 1392 of the family's 1533-position model. The record is from RNAcentral.
GCUAAACGCGAAGAACCUUACCAGGGCUUGACAUGCCCCUGACCGUUCUAGAGAUAGGACUUUACCUUCGGGUACAGGGGACACAGGUGGUGCAUGGUUGUCGUCAGCUCGUGUCGUGAGAUGUUGGGUUAAGUCCCGCAACGAGCGCAACCCUUGCCUUUAGUUGCCAUCAUUAAGUUGGGCACUCUAGAGGGACUGCCGAUGAUAAAUCGGAGGAAGGUGGGGAUGACGUCAAAUCAUCAUGCCCUUUAUGUCCUGGGCUACACACGUGCUACAAUGGUCGGUACAACGAGAAGCAACAUAGCGAUGUGAAGCAAAACUCAAAAGCCGAUCCCAGUUCGGAUUGCAGGCUGCAACUCGCCUGCAUGAAGUCGGAGUUGCUAGUAAUCGCGAAUCAGAAUGUCGCGGUGAAUGCGUUCCCGGGUCUUGUACACACCG